CCGUAGGUGAACCUGCGGAAGAUCA
RNAcentral lists this ribosomal RNA (25 nucleotides) under Ichthyophonus hoferi. Its description in RNAcentral is "partial 18S ribosomal RNA". Lineage: Eukaryota; Ichthyosporea; Ichthyophonida; Ichthyophonidae. The record is from RNAcentral.